UACGGAGGGUGCAAGCGUUAAUCGGAAUUACUGGGCGUAAAGCGCACGCAGGUGGCUGAGUCAGUCGAGUGUGAAAGCCCCCGGCUCAACUGGGGAGGGUCACUCGAUACUGAUCGACUCGAAGGCAGGAGAGGGAAGUGGAAUUCCCGGUGUAGUGGUGAAAUGCGUAGAUAUCGGGAGGAACACCAGUGGCGAAGGCGACUUCCUGGCCUGUUCUUGACGCUGAGGCGCGAAAGCUAGGGGAGCAAACGGG
This 253-nucleotide ribosomal RNA is filed under the name uncultured bacterium. RNAcentral's name for it is "partial 16S ribosomal RNA". It matches the Rfam family "Bacterial small subunit ribosomal RNA", at positions 524 to 776 of the family's 1533-position model. The record is from RNAcentral.